CCAGACCCAUUGUUGAGGGCAUCCCUGGGGCAGCUCUUCCUUAGACCAGCAGCCGGGGUGCAGUAGCAGCAGCACCUUCAUAACUGGUAAAUGAGCUCAUAAUUUUAUUUGUACAAUGUAAAAUAUUUGGUUGUUGCCUUAAUUAAAAUGCUUUUUGUACUGUGACAUUUAUUGACAUUGUGGGGUUUUUGUGUGUAGUUUCACAUAACACUCCAUCACUUUUACCUGUUCCCAUGCAAGGGGUGACUGAAGCAUGCACAGUAAGUUGGGAGAUUAAAAAUUAAAAAAAUUAUAUAUAUAUAUAUCUUUUUUAAUUCUUUUUUUUAAUAUCUUUUUUAAAUUAUUUAAUUAUUUAUUGCUUUUAUAGCCGUGGUCUCUCAUCUUGAUUACACGAAGUGUUUUACUAUUACUACUCUAAAAUAUGAAUUACAUCUGAAAUAAUCAAGUACAUGACAUAGAAUGAUUAAUAGUACAUUUCCCUUUUUUUAGGAAAUGACCUGUAUGUAUCUGUAUGAAAUCAAUAAAAGAAUCAAAUACUGCAUUAUCUUUAGUUACAUUGAUAAUAUUUAUUUAUGGACAAACAGUGGAGAAAUAUCGCUGUUGCUUUCGUAUAAAUGAAGCGGACAUACCUGAAGUGGCGCGAUCUAAUCCUGUUUACAUAAAGUAAACCUGCUCCCAAGCAGGUUUACGCUUACGGAUCUGUUGCUAUGACAGCAAGUCCCGGAUGAGCUUCGGAGAACCGAACGAUCCAAGAUCACGCGAAAUCGUCAACAAUCAAAUCCGGCUAACUUACUUAGCGAGGUAUGAAGAACGGGCCCCAGGCCUAGCAGGGGCAUUAUUUAGGAUAAAUGGUAUUAAGCAAUAAGUUCAAAAUCACCAGUAAGACAUGUGUAAAUGAUUGUUUUUGGUAGUAUUGUACCAGGGCUAGGAACAAAGUCCAGACCGUAACUGUGAAUAAACAUGAACAGUUUUUUAGUGUAUGUUCAUUAAGUUGAGGUUUCGAGUGAGUCUGUGCAGGAAGCAAACUGUAGGUCCUGUACAGCAGCGGUCCCCAACCUUUUUUGCGCCACGGACCGGUUUAUGCCCGACAAUAUUUUUACGGACCGGCAAUAAGGUGUCGCGGAUGAAUACAACAAAAUAAAACUAGUGCCGGUACCGAAAAAAAGAAGAUUUAUUCAUAACACACGUGAAAAGACCCAGGAAAACCGAGUUAACGAUAAAAACGAUAACAAAAUAACGCUGAAAACCGAUAAAAACCCUGAAAACCAUACAUUUCACACCUGAGCCUCAACUCUCGCGGCCCGGUACCAAACGACUCACGGACCGGUACCGGUCCGAGGCCCGGGGGUUGGGGACCGCUGCUGUACAGGACUUAAGAACUACAAGCCAUUCAUUUGACCUCAUUUCUUAAGAGUAAAAUUACGGAGUUGUUUAAAUUUCUUGAUUGAAAAAGGAUUUUUCGUGAGAUUUUUUUUUAAAAUGAAUGUAAUUUUAUGUUUGAAUGGCAAUCACCGCAAAAUAAAUCGGAAACUGAAAAUGAGUUGUGGGGACUUUAAAUAAACUGAAUCGAAAUAUUUGUGAAUGUGAUCUUCAGAUGUUUUAUUUUUACUCUGUUUCUCUGUUAAUGUGAUGUCAGUGUAAAUUACUGAACCGGUUUACAACCGCUUCAACUUCCACUAAUCUGCUCUUUGAUGACGUUGUGCAAUCAAGUAUUGUGAACAUUUUAUAGAGAACUGCUGCCUUGCUGCUUUAUGUGUCUCAGAGUCCACUUUGUGACUGCAGCAGUGUUAAAUGUGCUGGGGGAUGAACUGACCCAGUGUCUGUGAAGAGCUGCUGAUCAGAUAAUGAUUGUUAAUACUGCUGCUUUGUGUUAGGAAAAACACUGAGGAGGACAAUAAACACCUUUAAUCCCUGAA
Long non-coding RNA from Oreochromis aureus, 1916 nucleotides. Lineage: Eukaryota; Metazoa; Chordata; Actinopteri; Cichliformes; Cichlidae. The record is from Ensembl.